Molecule: long non-coding RNA, 477 nt
Organism: Vespula pensylvanica (western yellowjacket)
Lineage: Eukaryota; Metazoa; Arthropoda; Insecta; Hymenoptera; Vespidae
Exons: 2
Source: RefSeq, a predicted model, not a curated record
GCGAGCUAGCGAGUGAGCGAGAGAGUGAGUGAGUGAGAGAGUGAGAGAGAGAGGGCGAACGCGCUCUGCUCCCAAUAACGACUCUCGCCCUCGGUCAGUCGCGCGCGAACCGCGGAGCCGCGAGCAUCUCCUCGUCUCUCUCGCUCCGCAGGCGGAGAGAUUCCGGCGUUUCUCUCUCGGAAGAGAGAGAGAGAGGGAGAGGGAGCACACGCACGUGUGCAUGGUAAGUAAUCGAGUUCGAGGGUCCGAGUGUACACGGGUUUUUUGAAGAGGAUGAGAAGAGAGAGACAGAGGGAGGACGUACAAGAAGAAGAAGAAGAAGAAGAAGAGGAGGAGAAGAAAGAAGGGAGAAAAAAAUAGAUCGACGAGACAGAUCGAUCGUUAUGAUACUUGCGUGAAAAAAGAAAAGUGUUAUAGGUGAAUUUGAAAAAAGAGCGAGUUUGAAAUUGAGAGGAAAGAAGAAGAAAACGAAGAAGA